GACUCCGGGAUGCUUCACCUGUGGUGCUCACACAAAGCAAGUGUUCAUGUGUGGCAGGCACUGCUUUGUGCAAUCACACGGUUUCCUAACUCUUUCAAAGUGCUCAUUUUUCCCAGCUUAAUUUAUCUGUUGUACCCCCUGUGCUUAGCUGCACUGAAAGAGAACAAUCCUGGCAUAAACCACGAACAAUGGGUGUAAAACCAGGCCCCAUCAAUGCCAUGGUCAUCACAAAACCAGUAGCAAAUCGUACUACACAAGGUGGAGUGAGAAGUGGACUCAAUAGAGGGAUGGUGAGCCUUUGACCAGAUCCAUGCAUGUUUAGAGUUGAGGAGGCAUACGCAGUAUUCAACCUUGAGGACAAGCCACUUGUUACCACCAUGAACAUGUCACCUGACAAGCCACUUAUAGAAAGUGCAUUCGGGUUGGUCCAGGAAGGAAGAGUGUUGUCCAACCAGAAGCCUGUCUUAACAUCACGGUACAUCACACUACAUGAUGCCCCAUCAACUCCACCUUUGCCUCUUGAAGGACAUCAUCUUGCUCCAUCUAAAUGCAUGUUUGUUUGCACUGAGGAGGAGCUCUUACACCUUCAAAGUCUAAACACACCAUUAGAUAUGGCUAAGAAAAUUGAAGAGGCAACACUUGCGAGCAAAGCUCUUGUCCUGACUGGCAUCAGCUUCACAGAUCAAGAGUAACAGCUUCCAGGUUUCGGGAGAUAAGUCAUGUCAGAGGCCUGGGCUCUGCAGAGUCCCUCGCAGAGCGAAUCAUCAGAGGAAGCCGACAGACGGCAGAGAUGAGAAGAGUGCUGAAAUGGAGUCGGAGGUAACCGUGGAAUACAGCAAACUGAAAAAUGUUAACUACUCACCCUGUGGUUUAAUCAUCCAUCCAAAUGCUCCCUGGCUUGGUGCAUCCCCUGAUGGUGUGGUCUUUGAUCCAACUGACAGUCCUCAAUUUGGACUUGUUGAAAUUAAAUGUCCUAAUGUCAAAAACAUUAUUGACUGCAAAUAUAUGCAAAUGGACAAUGGGUUUCUCACCCUAAAAAAGGGCCAUGCAUACUAUUACCAAGUGCAGGGACAGCUACUGGUCUCAGGAAUGCAGUGGUGUGAUUUCAUGCUGUGGGCCCAGGAGGAUUAUUUUGUCCAGCGUAUCUACAGUGACACUUCAGUGCACAAAUUUAUUAGAGAGAA
Long non-coding RNA from Carassius auratus (goldfish), 1184 nucleotides. RefSeq lists it as uncharacterized. The transcript has 3 exons. The record is from RefSeq and is a predicted model, not a curated record. Lineage: Eukaryota; Metazoa; Chordata; Actinopteri; Cypriniformes; Cyprinidae.